GAUGAACGCUGGCGGCGUGCCUAAUACAUGCAAGUCGAGCGAAAAGACGAGGAGCUUGCUCCUCUGACGUUAGCGGCGGACGGGUGAGUAACACGUGGAUAACCUACCUAUAAGACUGGGAUAACUUCGGGAAACCGGAGCUAAUACCGGAUAAUAUAUUGAACCGCAUGGUUCAAUAGUGAAAGACGGUUUUGCUGUCACUUAUAGAUGGAUCCGCGCCGCAUUAGCUAGUUGGUAAGGUAACGGCUUACCAAGGCAACGAUGCGUAGCCGACCUGAGAGGGUGAUCGGCCACACUGGAACUGAGACACGGUCCAGACUCCUACGGGAGGCAGCAGUAGGGAAUCUUCCGCAAUGGGCGAAAGCCUGACAGAGCAACGCCGCGUGAGUGAAGAAGGUCUUCGGAUCGUAAAACUCUUUUAUUAGGGAAGAACAAAUGUGUAAGUAACUAUGCACGUCUUGACGGUACCGAAUCAGAAAGCCACGGCUAACUACGUG
RNAcentral lists this ribosomal RNA (497 nucleotides) under uncultured bacterium. RNAcentral's name for it is "partial 16S ribosomal RNA". It matches the Rfam family "Bacterial small subunit ribosomal RNA", at positions 28 to 507 of the family's 1533-position model. The record is from RNAcentral.